This 460-nucleotide ribosomal RNA is filed under the name uncultured bacterium. Its description in RNAcentral is "partial 16S ribosomal RNA". It matches the Rfam family "Bacterial small subunit ribosomal RNA", at positions 338 to 795 of the family's 1533-position model. The record is from RNAcentral.
CCUACGGGGGGCUGCAGUGAGGAAUAUUGGUCAAUGGACGCAAGUCUGAACCAGCCAUGCCGCGUGCAGGAAGACGGCUCUAUGGGUUGUAAACUGCUUUUGUACGAGGGUAAACGGAGAUACGCGUAUCUGUCUGAAAGUAUCUUACGAAUAAGGAUCGGCUAACUCCGUGCCAGCAGCCGCGGUAAUACGGAGGAUCCCAGCGUUAUCCGGAUUUAUUGGGUUUAAAGGGUGCGUAGGCGGUCGGAUAAGUUAGGGGUGAAAUGUCGAGGCUCAACUGCGGAAUUGCAUCUGAUACUGGUCGCCUAGAGAGUAGUUGCGGGAGGCGGAAUGUAUGGUGUAGCGGUGAAAUGCUUAGAGAUCAUACAGAACCCCGAUUGCGAAGGCAGCUUACUAAGCUACUUCUGACGUUGAGGCACGAAAGCGUGGGGAGCAAACAGGAUUAGAUACCCCUGUAGUC